Molecule: ribosomal RNA, 253 nt
Filed under: uncultured bacterium
Lineage: Bacteria
Description: partial 16S ribosomal RNA
Rfam family: Bacterial small subunit ribosomal RNA
Source: RNAcentral
UACGUAGGUAGCAAGCGUUGUUCGGAGUUACUGGGCGUAAAGGGUGUGUAGGCGGUUUUUUAAGUUUGGUUUGAAAUCUCCCGGCUCAACUGGGAGGGUGCGCCGAAUACUGAAAGACUAGAGUGCGGGAGAGGAAAGUGGAAUUCCUGGUGUAGCGGUGAAAUGCGUAGAUAUCUGCAGGAACACCCGUGGCGAAGGCGGCUCGCUGGACCGCAACUGACGCUGAGGAACGAAAGCUAGGGGAGCAAACAGG